AGGGAAGGUUCCUGGCUACUCCAGCUCAAUGAUUCCCUCCCUUUGUUAUGCACACUCCUGGGUAACAAACCAGGCUCACCCCGGUGUGUGACACCAGAGCACCGAGGUCGUUUCCCCUCCUUCUGGCCCCUGCUGAUUUAAUUCCAGGGUUGAUUUAAUAAGCAGAACCCGUUUUUUGGAGCUGAGGCCACCGAACAACCUCCCAGCAGCAAACAUAAAAUAACACCUUCAGCUUCCCAUCAAAUACUGCUUGUCAUAUUUAAUGGUCUAGACAAAAGAUCACCACUUUCCCUUCCUCCUUUCCAGUCAGUCUGUCCCUAAUGAUGGCAAGAUGAAAAGCAGGAUCCUGGUGGAUACUGGAGUGGAAAAGGAUUUGUUGUAGCUGCUGCCAGCAGAGCUUUUGAAGAAAAGUAUCUGAAAAGCCUCUCCUCUGUUCUGCUUCAUUAGGCAGCUCAGUGUUCAAAAGAAACAUUGCUUUUCACAACUGGCUCUGGAGUCAUUAAGAGCAGCACGAGUGAAUGGGUUUUGUUUGCCUGCCUCGAGGAAAAAGCCAUCACAGAGAUCUCAUCUUCAAGACCAUCCCUGCUCCUGGCUCCAUAUUUGCAGGCACUUCAGUUCCUGCAGGAACACAGAAACGCUGUCAAAGCUGCAGCAGUGCCUGGUGAUGACUGAAACACAGAGAUGCAGCACUGAAAAAUAAAUGGGUUUUUAUCAACCCAGAUAUUUGAACACUAACCCAAUCAUAAAUAUCAACAUAUAAUAAAAACUAAGAGAAUGCAA
This is a non-coding RNA of Cyanistes caeruleus (blue tit), 780 nucleotides long. NCBI's taxonomy places the organism in Eukaryota, Metazoa, Chordata, Aves, Passeriformes, Paridae. The record is from RefSeq and is a predicted model, not a curated record.